Molecule: ribosomal RNA, 509 nt
Filed under: uncultured bacterium
Lineage: Bacteria
Description: bacterial SSU rRNA
Rfam family: Bacterial small subunit ribosomal RNA
Source: RNAcentral
CUACGUGCCAGCAGCCGCGGUAAUACGUAGGUCCCGAGCGUUGUCCGGAUUUAUUGGGCGUAAAGCGAGCGCAGGCGGUUAGAUAAGUCUGAAGUUAAAGGCUGUGGCUUAACCAUAGUACGCUUUGGAAACUGUUUAACUUGAGUGCAAGAGGGGAGAGUGGAAUUCCAUGUGUAGCGGUGAAAUGCGUAGAUAUAUGGAGGAACACCGGUGGCGAAAGCGGCUCUCUGGCUUGUAACUGACGCUGAGGCUCGAAAGCGUGGGGAGCAAACAGGAUUAGAUACCCUGGUAGUCCACGCCGUAAACGAUGAGUGCUAGGUGUUAGACCCUUUACGGGGUUUAGUGCCGCAGCUAACGCAUUAAGCACUCCGCCUGGGGAGUACGACCGCAAGGUUGAAACUCAAAGGAAUUGACGGGGGCCCGCACAAGCGGUGGAGCAUGUGGUUUAAUUCGAMGCAACGCGAAGAACCUUACCAGGUCUUGACAUUGAUGGACAGAACUAGAGAUAG